CCUACGGGGCGCAGCAGUGAGGAAUAUUGGUCAAUGGCCGCAAGUCUGAACCAGCCAUGCCGCGUGAGGGAAGACGGCUCUAUGGGUUGUAAACUGCUUUUGUACGAGGGCAAGUCCCGACACGAGUGUCGGGGUGAAAGUAUCGGAAGAAAAAGGAUCGGCUAACUCCGUGCCAGCAGCCGCGGUAAUACGGAGGACUCAAGCGUUAUCCGGAUUUAUUGGGUUUAAAGGGUGCGUAGGCGGUUCGUCAAGUUAGCGGUGAAAUCCCGGGGCCCAACCCCGGCCCGGCGUUUGA
RNAcentral lists this ribosomal RNA (295 nucleotides) under uncultured bacterium. Its description in RNAcentral is "partial 16S ribosomal RNA". It matches the Rfam family "Bacterial small subunit ribosomal RNA", at positions 338 to 630 of the family's 1533-position model. The record is from RNAcentral.